GACGAACGCUGGCGGCGCGCCUAACACAUGCAAGUCGAACGGAGCUUAGAGAGCUUGCUUUUUAAGCUUAGUGGCGAACGGGUGAGUAACGCGUGAGUAACCUGCCCUAGAGUGGGGGACAACAGUUGGAAACGACUGCUAAUACCGCAUAAGCCCACGGUACCGCAUGGUACUGAGGGAAAAGGAUUUAUUCGCUUUAGGAUGGACUCGCGUCCAAUUAGCUAGUUGGUGAGGUAACGGCCCACCAAGGCGACGAUUGGUAGCCGGACUGAGAGGUUGAACGGCCACAUUGGGACUGAGACACGGCCCAGACUCCUACGGGAGGCAGCAGUGGGGGAUAUUGCACAAUGGGGGAAACCCUGAUGCAGCGACGCCGCGUGGAGGAAGAAGGUUUUCGGAUUGUAAACUCCUGUCGUUAGGGACG
This 424-nucleotide ribosomal RNA is filed under the name uncultured bacterium. Its description in RNAcentral is "bacterial SSU rRNA". It matches the Rfam family "Bacterial small subunit ribosomal RNA", at positions 28 to 447 of the family's 1533-position model. The record is from RNAcentral.